CCACACCCCCCAGGAACUGAAGUCCUCUGUUUAUCCAUGGAACAGUACAGCAUGCUGGGCAAGUUACCCAUACACCAUCUCACCAGUGGAUGUCACCUACACCCUAGAAGUCCCAUUGCUUGUGGCGAGAAAGAAGUUCACUCCUUGGUCUUAUUGAGCAUAUUCUGCA
Molecule: unclassified non-coding RNA, 169 nt
Organism: Chelonoidis abingdonii (Abingdon island giant tortoise)
Lineage: Eukaryota; Metazoa; Chordata; Testudines; Testudinidae
Source: Ensembl